CAAUAGCGUAUAUUAAUGUUGUUGCAGUUAAAAAGCUCGUAGUUGGAUUUCUGACGGGAGCCCUGGUCACUUUAACGAGUGUACUGAGGUGGCGUCCUGUCGUUUCAUGGGGAUGCUUGCUGGUAUUAAGUUAUCGGCUUGUGGAUCCAUGUCGUUUACUGUGAAAAAAUUAGAGUGUUCAAAGCAGGCCAUCGCUGUGAAUACAUUAGCAUGGAAUAAUAAGAUAGGACUGUGGUGCUAUUUUGUUGGUUUGCGUACUACGGUAAUGAUUAAUAGGGAUAGUUGGGGGUAUUCAUAUUCAAUUGUCAGAGGUGAAAUUCUUGGAUUUAUGGAAGAUGAACUACUGCGAAAGCAUUUACCAAGGAUGUUUUCAUUAA
This 377-nucleotide ribosomal RNA is filed under the name uncultured eukaryote. RNAcentral's name for it is "partial 18S ribosomal RNA". It matches the Rfam family "Eukaryotic small subunit ribosomal RNA", at positions 592 to 976 of the family's 1831-position model. The record is from RNAcentral.